UGGGGAAUAUUGGACAAUGGGCGCAAGCCUGAUCCAGCCAUGCCGCGUGAGUGAUGAAGGCCCUAGGGUUGUAAAGCUCUUUCACCGGUGAAGAUAAUGACGGUAACCGGAGAAGAAGCCCCGGCUAACUUCGUGCCAGCAGCCGCGGUAAUACGAAGGGGGCUAGCGUUGUUCGGAUUUACUGGGCGUAAAGCGCACGUAGGCGGACUAUUAAGUCAGGGGUGAAAUCCCGGGGCUCAACCCCGGAACUGCCUUUGAUACUGGUAGUCUUGAGUUCGGGAGAGGUGAGUGGAAUUCCGAGUGUAGAGGUGAAAUUCGUAGAUAUUCGGAGGAACACCAGUGGCGAAGGCGGCUCACUGGCGCGAUACUGACGCUGAGGUGCGAAAGCGUGGGGAGCAAACAGG
RNAcentral lists this ribosomal RNA (404 nucleotides) under Actinomycetes bacterium. RNAcentral describes it as "Actinobacteria bacterium partial 16S ribosomal RNA". It matches the Rfam family "Bacterial small subunit ribosomal RNA", at positions 355 to 776 of the family's 1533-position model. Lineage: Bacteria; Bacillati; Actinomycetota; Actinomycetes. The record is from RNAcentral.